UAGGGAAUCUUCGGCAAUGGACGGAAGUCUGACCGAGCAACGCCGCGUGAGUGAAGAAGGUUUUCUGAUCGUUAAGCUCUGUUGUUAGAGAAGAACGUUGGUAGGAGUUGAAAAUCUACCAAUUGACGGUAACUAACCAGAAAGGGACGGCUAACUACGUGCCAGCAGCCGCGGUAAUACGUAGGUCCCGACCGUUGUCCGGAUUUAUUGGGAGUAAAGCGAGCGCAGGCGGUUCUUUAAGUCUGAAGUUAAAGGCAGUGGCUUAAACAUUGUACGCUUUGGAAACUGGAGGACUAGAGUGCAGAAGGGGAGAGUGGAAUUCCAUGUGUAGCGGUGAAAAGCGUAGAUAUAAGGAGGAACACCGGUGGCGAAAGAGGCUCUAUGGACUGUAACUGACGAUGAGGAUCGAAAGCGUGGGGAGCAAACAGG
This 429-nucleotide ribosomal RNA is filed under the name Bacillota bacterium. RNAcentral's name for it is "Firmicutes bacterium partial 16S ribosomal RNA". It matches the Rfam family "Bacterial small subunit ribosomal RNA", at positions 355 to 776 of the family's 1533-position model. Lineage: Bacteria; Bacillati; Bacillota. The record is from RNAcentral.